This 549-nucleotide non-coding RNA is filed under the name Tropilaelaps mercedesae. RNAcentral describes it as "Eukaryotic large subunit ribosomal RNA". It matches the Rfam family "Eukaryotic large subunit ribosomal RNA", at positions 2403 to 2992 of the family's 3401-position model. Lineage: Eukaryota; Metazoa; Arthropoda; Arachnida; Mesostigmata; Laelapidae. The record is from Rfam by way of RNAcentral.
AAUGAAGACCCAGUUGAGGUUGACUCUAAUCUGACUUCUUAAAAACACAUCGGAGGUGCAGCAUAAGUAGGAAAUCCGUCACCAAUUAAAUACCACCACUAUUUGUCCUUCUUGAAUUACUCAGUGGACUAAAAGUGGUCAUGUCAUGUUUUACUAAUACGCAUAGUAACUUGUGUGAUUUAUAUUAAAGACGUAGCCACGUGGGGAGUUUAACUGGGGUGGUGUGCCUGUCAAAAAAUAACGCAGGUGUCCUGAGGCGAUUUAACGGGAACAGAGAUUUUGCAUCGGACAAAAGAAUAAAAGCUACCUCGAUUUCACCUUCAACUGCAAGUGCAGACACUGAAAGCGUAAGCCCUCUAUUCUUUUGUUUUUAAAAAUCCUGAGCAAAAGAUGUCAAAAGAGUCUGCAGAGGCCAAGUGCCGCUUUUUGAUCCUUCGAUGUCAGCCUUUUCUAUUACCGCAAGCUUUAAUUCAUCAAUUAUAGGAUUUUUCACUCACUAAUGAGGAACAUAAACCGGAUGUAGAUCGCCAUGAAAUAAAUCAGGUUUAC